This 498-nucleotide ribosomal RNA is filed under the name Mantidactylus femoralis. RNAcentral describes it as "partial 16S ribosomal RNA". It matches the Rfam family "Bacterial large subunit ribosomal RNA", at positions 1928 to 2597 of the family's 2925-position model. Lineage: Eukaryota; Metazoa; Chordata; Amphibia; Anura; Mantellidae. The record is from RNAcentral.
CGGCCACGGUACCCUAACCGUGCGAAGGUAGCAUAAUCACUUGUUCUUUAAAUGGGGACUCGUAUCAACGGCAUACGAGGGUUCUACUGUCUCCUUUCUCUAAUCAGUGAAACUAAUCUCCCCGUGAAGAAGCGAGGAUAACACUAUAAGACGAGAAGACCCCAUGGAGCUUUAAACCCAAUUAUAUUCCUAACCCCACAACCAUUUAAUCUCUUAGGCCCCAUAUACUUGGUUUUAGGUUGGGGCGACCACGGAGUAAAACCAAACCUCCAUGAUGUACGGAACAACCUCCUUAUCCAAGAGCCACAGUCUAAGAAUUAGCACACUAUCAAAAAAUGACCCAUUAUUGAUCAACGAACCAAGUUACCCUGGGGAUAACAGCGCAAUCCAUUUUAAGAGCCCCUAUCGACAAAUGGGUUUACGACCUCGAUGUUGGAUCAGGAUAUCCCAGUGGUGCAGCAACUACUAAAGGUUCGUUUGUUCAACGAUUAAAAUCCU